CACACUGUAUUACUUUUUUCCCGGAGUUGUUAGCAGUGGAGCCAAAUGAAUCUUUCACAUUGGUGUCAAUUAGUGAGAAAUAUGGUCAGUUUUGUCAGCGUUGAUGGCUCUGGAAGGCUUCGAAGAGGACGUGAUCAGGGUCGGCCUGAGAGCCUUAGCUCAACCAGUUCCAGUCUCAUUUCCUUCUGGAAGGCGCCCCGGGUUGUUCAGCCCCGUAGUCGGUUCUGCUGUCCACCGAGGACGUGGGGGCCCGCAGGACGGGCUCCAGGCCGUGUGUCCGCCGGGUUGGCGGGGCUCAGGCUCACAGGUGACCUCGCUGGGGGUUCUUCUCAAAGCAGAAGCGCCCACGACCGCCUCUCUGUUGUUUCCAGAAACAUCUUCAGGAAUAAGGAUUUUAUACUUCACCAAACAUCCGGUGGGAGCCACGGCCUGGAGAGAACCACCAACCUGCGUGCAUCUGGACACACCUGCUUGAUUUUCACUAGAAACACCGACCGGAGGGCAGCCUGCACCCACGCUGCCUCACUCGCGUGCAUGCACACGCACACGCACACGCCAGCCCCCAUCAGGGGCUACGGGCCCCGGGGGCGGGUGAGCAACGACCCAAGGGCACAAGCACGUCUGCAGUGCUCACAGCUCUCGUGCACACACGCACCUGUGCCGUCUCCGCUCACUACGCGCCCAGGAGGCUGCGUGCAGAGAAGUGUCCCCCGGCGCUGGCCGCCCGGCCCCCCAGGCCCAGACUCGGAUGGGCUGAGACGGGAUCUCGCCCAAGGACGGGAGAGGCCGGGGCUGGAGGCGGCCUCUGUCUUCUCUCAUGCUUUAGGCCUUGGCUCCUAAUGUCGCCUUCCUGACCCCUGGACACGGCGGCAGCCUCUGCCCCCUGCUCGGGGCCCGCUCCCAGUUCCCGGGGUAUGGGGACACAGAGGCUGGCGCAGGGUGGUGUCGGGCAGCGACACAGCCGUGCUUGGUCCUCACUCCCGCAGGGAACCAAGAGAGGGACUUGGGAGCUUUCUGACCCAGGGGACCCCAGAAUCCUCUGAGGGUGCCCUGCCCGUCAUGUCCACCUCGAGAUCGUGCUCCUGGAGACCGCAGGGACCCAUGCG
RNAcentral lists this long non-coding RNA (1106 nucleotides) under Vulpes vulpes (red fox). Its description in RNAcentral is "lncRNA (ENSVVUG00000003959.1)". Lineage: Eukaryota; Metazoa; Chordata; Mammalia; Carnivora; Canidae. The record is from RNAcentral.